AUUGAACGCUGGCGGCAGGCCUAACACAUGCAAGUCGAGCGGUAACACUUCGGGUGACGAGCGGCGGACGGGUGAGUAACGCGUAGGAAUCUGCCCAGUAGUGGGGGACAACAGUUGGAAACGACUGCUAAUACCGCAUACGCCCUACGGGGGAAAGGGGGCUUCGGCUCUCGCUAUUGGAUGAGCCUGCGUGAGAUUAGCUAGUUGGUAAGGUAAUGGCUUACCAAGGCAACGAUCUCUAGCUGGUUUGAGAGGAUGAUCAGCCACACUGGGACUGAGACACGGCCCAGACUCCUACGGGGAGGCAGCAGUGGGGGGAAUAUUGCACAAUGGGCGCAAGCCUGAUGCAGCCAUGCCGCGUGUGUGAAGAAGGCUUUCGGGUUGUAAAGCACUUUCAGCAGUGAGGAAAGGGUGUUGGUUAAUACCCAAUAUCUGUGACGUUAACUGCAGAAGAAGCACCGGCUAACUCCGUGCCAGCCGCCGCGGUAA
Molecule: ribosomal RNA, 489 nt
Filed under: uncultured bacterium
Lineage: Bacteria
Description: bacterial SSU rRNA
Rfam family: Bacterial small subunit ribosomal RNA
Source: RNAcentral